UGUACAAGGAUUCAAUGCCAAAAAAAAAAAACACAGGAUACACAUCUAGGGUUUCUAGAUCAUUCUUUAGAUCUCACAUUUUCAAAAACCUCAACCCCUCCCUUUUUCUCUCUGGCGAUUCAAGAACAUGAAGGUGAUUUCACCACGAUUUCACCAGAUCGUUGAAGAUUGCACGUGAUUGAUGAUGAAUCCGACCUCUUGGUUCCGAUUUAGGGUUUGAGAAGAGCUCAAGAUCGAGAUACUGUUUUAAAGUUAGAAUUCUAGGGUUCCACCGGAUCUAACGGCAGUAAGGACGACAAGAUAUAUUGUGAUUUAUAUUUCAUAAAGGUCAGAUCCGCUUCAGAACCACUUCAGAUCUGGAAAUGGUUCGAUUACUCAAAUAUUUCACUUAUUUCUUACUCUAAUCAAAGGUUUAUUACGUUUUUAA
Helianthus annuus (common sunflower) is the source of this 427-nucleotide long non-coding RNA. RefSeq lists it as uncharacterized. The record is from RefSeq and is a predicted model, not a curated record. The transcript has 2 exons. Lineage: Eukaryota; Viridiplantae; Streptophyta; Magnoliopsida; Asterales; Asteraceae.